RNAcentral lists this small RNA (28 nucleotides) under Bombyx mori (domestic silkworm). Its description in RNAcentral is "ovarian small RNA-34701". The record is from RNAcentral. Lineage: Eukaryota; Metazoa; Arthropoda; Insecta; Lepidoptera; Bombycidae.
UGGCAAAAUUCGACGUUUAUGUGUGCUU